UAAUAAUCCCCAAAAAACAGAAAAUGCUCCCCCUUCUCUCCAAAUCUGUUACUAAUAACCGUAAAGAUAACAAAAGGCAAAAUAUCUAACUCCCCACCCCAAAAUGCCCAUUCACUAACAAUUAUGACCAAAUCACCCUUCUAAUGUCCUUUCCUCACGUAAACACGCCCCCACCUUCCUUGGUUGCCUUCGUGUACUAAAGGCUCACGUAACUCUUCACCAAUGGUUGUAUCAAUACCUCCCCCUUGAGCAAUUUGUCUUGUCCUCAAGACAAAGAGUAGGAAAUUGGCUCCGGAUUGAGAUUUCAUCCUCCCAUGUUGCUUCGUCCACUGACUUCCCUUUCCAUUGAAUCAACCACUGUUUCAAUCUUUCUCCAUGCUUGAUCACUCUCCUAGAAGCUAAAACAGCUUCAGGUUCGAUGAUGUCAGCUCUAUCAUCUUCCAGCCCAGUAGGUAAGUCUGCUUCUGCCUCAUAAUUUCCCACUACCUUCUUGAGUAAGGACACAUGAAACAUGGGAUGAAUUCUUGAAGUGGGAGGAAGUUGCAGUUUGUAAGCCACUUUCCGAAUCUUUUCUAGUAUUUUAAACGGCCCAUAAUACCUUGCACUGAGUUUAGGACUAAUUCUAGCCAUGACUGAAUGCUGCCUGUGUUGUUUAAGCUUUAAAAACACCAUAUCUCCUACUUCAAACUCCCUUUCCUUUCUGUGCUUAUCCGCCUGGGUUUUCAUGCGAUCUUGGACCCUUACUAAAUGUGUUUUUAACUGUCUCAAUGCCUCGUCACGAUCAAUUAACUCCCUCUGAGCUGAUUCUACUCUCACUUCCCCUGGAAUGCACGGUAUAAUCUUGGGAUGUUCACGACCGUACACCACUGCAAAAGGAGUAGUCCCUAUAGACUCUUGGUGCGUGGUAUUGAUCCAGAAUUCUGCCUAGGACAACCAAAGGGACCAAUUUUUAGGCUGGUCGGUAAUGAAACAACGCAAAUAGGUUUCAAGACACCUAUUUGUGACUUCGGUCUGUCCAUCCGUUUGCGGAUGGUAAGCUGUACUCAUCUUGAGCAUUGUUCCCUGUAACUUAAAAAUUUCCUUCUUAAACAAACUCAUAAAUAAAGGAUCUUUAUCACUCACGAGAGAUUUUGGAACUCCAUGUAGCCUCACUACUUCCCUUACGAAAAUCUCAGCAAUUCCCUUGGCAGUAUAAGGGUGUUUCAAUGGAACAAAAUUGCUAUAUUUGGUCAGCCUGUCCACAACAACCAGAAUAGCUUCAUAGCCUCUCGAGCGAGGCAACCCUGUGAUAAAAUCAACUGAUACAUCCUCCCAGACCUGUUCUGGAAUAGGAAGAGGUUGCAGCAAUCCUCCAGGUGAGGUAGGACUAUACUUCUGACGCUGACAAAUGUCACAAGCUUGCACAAACUGUUUGACAUCUUCUUUCAUACCUUUCCAAAAUAAAUUGGAAGCCAACCUCCGAUAUGUCCUAUAAAAACCCGAAUGACCAGCUUGAGGAGUAGAAUGAAAUUCCUCUAGUAACUUCUGAAUCCAAGGAGAUUUCUCAUGCAUCACCAACCUUCCUUUAUAAAGCAGCACUCCCUGAUUAUAGGAGAAACCAGUAUGGGCCUCUUUAUCCUAUUGCAAAUCAGAAAUAACAUUUUUCCAGUGGGUAUCUUGCUGCACCUCAUGAGUCAACUGCUGCCAAUCUAACCACUUAGGAUAAUAGAUCAUAUUAGUCAAUUCGGCAUCCUCCAAACUCCUUGACAGGGCAUCAGCUCCUUUAUUCUCGUUCCUAGGCUUAUAAAUUAUCUCAAAAUUAUACCCCAUCAACUUGGCCAACCAAUUUUGUUGAUUACCUGUUAAAACCCUUUGACUUAGCAACUGUUUUAAACUCCUCUGAUCUGAAAACACAGCAAAUUUCCUUCCUAACAGGUGUGUCCGCCAAUGUUGGAUAGCAAGGACGACUGCCAUCAACUCUUUCUCAUAGGCAGAUUUAGAUAAAUUCUUCCCACCCAAUGCCUUACUGAAAUAUGCAAUUGGUUGGCUGUUUUGCAUCAGGAUUGCUCCAAUUCCUGUUCCCGAAACAUCGCAUUCUAACUCAAACUGUUCUUCAAAAUUUGGCAAUCUCAACACUGGUGCCUUCGUCAUACGCUUCUUCAAAGCAUCGAAUGCUUGUUGAGCCAAAGCACCCCAUUUAAAUCUAUUUUUUUUUUGUUAGAACAGUCAGUGCUCGUGCAAUCUUACCAUAAUCCCUUAUAAACUUCCUAUACUAGCCCGUGAGGCCUAGGAAGCCUCUGACCCCCUUCACAUUCUUUGGUCUAGGCCACUCAAGAACACUUUUCACUUUGGCAGGAUCAACCGCCACUCCCUGCACAAAGAUGAUAUGACCCAAGUAUUCAACUUGUUCUUGGCCAAUAGUGCAUUUCUCAUGUCUCGCAAACAACUUGUUGUGCCUCAAAACUUCCAGAACCUGCUGAAGCAGUUGCAAGUGCUCUUGCCAUCCUUUGCUGUACACAAGGAUGUCAUAAAAAAAAACCAACACCCCUUUUCUUAAAUAAUCUCUGAAGACAUCAUUCAUCAAAGCUUGGAAGGUAGAUGGAGCAUUCAUCAGCCCAAAAGGCAUUACAAGGUACUCGUAAUGGCUCUCAUGGGUUCUAAACGCUGUUUUAGGUAUGCCUUUGGUCCUCAUACACACCUGGUGAUAUCCUGAGCUCAAAUCCAGUUUACAAAAAUACUUAGCUCCCUGUAACUCGUCCAGUAAUUCUUCGAUAACAGGAAUUGGGAAUUUGUCAGGUAUUGUAACCCUAUUCAGUGCCCUAAAAUCCACACACAUACGCCACUUAUUGUUCCUCUUCUUAACCAAGAUGACUGGACUGGAAUAAGCAUUCUGGCUAUAUCGGAUAUGACCAUUCGCCAACAACUCUUUCACCUGUCUCUCUAUUUCAUUCUUGUGGAGGUGUGGAUACCGAUAGGGUCUUACAUUAAUUGGAGCCACUCCUGGUUGGAGAGUGAUAUUGUGCUCACGAGCUCGUGGGGGAGGCAAACCAGUGGGUUCCUUGAAAACCUCGGCAAAUAUCUCUAGAAUACUCUCCAAAACUGCCUGCGGUUCCCCCUUCACUCUAUUCUCCUGAACCUCUUUUGUCCCUUCCAUUAAAUGGCACAAUGAAAUAAAUUUGAGUUCUCCUGGUUGGAGACCCAUCAAAACUUUCUCUCCCUGGAAGUAUUAAUCUUCAUAAUCUGCCUUCUCCAGUCCACACGCAUUUCCCCUAAAGAACUUAGCCACGCCAUUCCCAAAAUCAAAUCGAUGUCCUCCAGAUCAAAAAGAUAAGCGUCAACCACAAAACAACAUCCAUUAACCUCCACCGUUAAUUCGUGACAAACCUCACAAGUCAGAGUUUUGUGACCAUCACCCAGCAAGAUUCACAUGCUCCUCGUUUCCUCCCACUUCCAUCCCAUAGCCUCCACUAACUUCCGAGAAAUAAAGUUAUGGGAAGUGCUGUUGUCGACAAGUAUAAAGAGGGGAACUCCACCUUUUUGAGGGAUUGACGAAAUUCCUCCAAAGCGGUCCCCUCCAAUGGCUUCAAGCUCGCACUCGCCUUCGAUUUCUCACUCUCCUUCUGUCCCACCGAGAUCUCACCUCCAUCUUCGUCUCCAUUCCUCCUAAAACCUCGAGAUAUGGCCUCCAUUAGUUUUGUCUGUUGCUCCGAUUGUUUCUGCAGCUGGUCCAUAAUCGAUUUGCUUUCUGCUGCCUUAAGAUGCAGUUCCACAAUUGAUGAUCGAACCCAAUCCAGCUCUCCUACGUGAAUCAUGCGUGCCUCCAUUUCCGCUGAUUCCUGUCGUUGAUUCUUCUUUUUCUGAUUCCUAGUUGUGGGCAUCCACAAAUGAGAAUAUAUCCGGCAGGUCGGACCAAAUUGAUGCAGAACCAGAAAACAAAAUAUCGUAGAUAUUGUGAAUGAAACAGGGAGACCUUGAUUGAAUUAAAAAGAUAACAAGAACAAAGAAAAAACAGACGGGAAUGGGUACCCAGUCUGUCCUAGAGCCAAGCUCCUCUAUCCAAAAUGAUAAUAAUCCCCAAAAAACAGAAAAUGCUCCCCCUUCUCUCUCCAAAUCUGUUACUAAUAACCGUAAAGAUAACAAAAGGCAAAAUAUCUAACUCCACACCCCAAAAUGCCCAUUCACUAACAAUUAUGACCAAAUCACCAUUCUAAUGUCCUCUCCUCACGUAAACACGCCCCCACCUUCCUUGGUUGCCUUCGUGUACUAAAGGCUCACGUAAUUCUUC
Molecule: long non-coding RNA, 4264 nt
Filed under: Glycine max (soybean)
Lineage: Eukaryota; Viridiplantae; Streptophyta; Magnoliopsida; Fabales; Fabaceae
Description: long non-coding RNA (GMAX_LNC001498)
Source: RNAcentral